UGGAGGGAACUCUGAACCAGCCAUGCCGCGUGCAGGAUGACGGCCCUCGGGUUGUAAACUGCUUUUAUUCGGGAAUAAACCUACUUACGUGUAAGUAGCUGAAUGUACCGAAGGAAUAAGGAUCGGCUAACUCCGUGCCAGCAGCCGCGGUAAUACGGAGGAUCCAAGCGUUAUCCGGAUUUAUUGGGUUUAAAGGGUGCGUAGGCGGCUUUUUAAGUCAGGGGUGAAAGACGGUAGCUCAACUAUCGCAGUGCCCUUGAUACUGAAGAGCUUGAAUGAACUAGAGGUAGGCGGAAUGUGACAAGUAGCGGUGAAAUGCAUAGAUAUGUCACAGAACACCGAUUGCGAAGGCAGCU
This 356-nucleotide ribosomal RNA is filed under the name uncultured Pedobacter sp. RNAcentral's name for it is "bacterial SSU rRNA". It matches the Rfam family "Bacterial small subunit ribosomal RNA", at positions 372 to 726 of the family's 1533-position model. Lineage: Bacteria; Pseudomonadati; Bacteroidota; Sphingobacteriia; Sphingobacteriales; Sphingobacteriaceae. The record is from RNAcentral.